UGACCCCGUGCGGGAGAGUCCUCCGAAGUGCUCACUGAGCUCUCGGCGGGCGCCGAAGGAGCAACUCCUCCCCGGAAUCUCUCAGGCCCACGGACCGCACGGACGAG
RNAcentral lists this non-coding RNA (107 nucleotides) under Streptomyces sp. RNAcentral describes it as "Glycine sequence". It matches the Rfam family "Glycine riboswitch aptamer". From Rfam's summary of the family: This family represents the bacterial glycine riboswitch. Glycine riboswitches usually consist of two metabolite-binding aptamers domains with similar structures in tandem. The record is from RNAcentral. Lineage: Bacteria; Bacillati; Actinomycetota; Actinomycetes; Kitasatosporales; Streptomycetaceae.